AGUAUACUGCGAAACUGCGAAUGGCUCAUUAAAUCAGUUAUCGUUUAUUUGAUAGUACCUUUACUCGGAUAACCGUGGUAAUUCUAGAGCUAAUACGUGCAAACAAGCCUGACUUACGAAAGGCUGUACUUAUUAGAUAAAAAACCAAUGCCCUUUGGGCUCGUUGGUGAAUCAUGAUAAUUAAACGAAUCGCAUGGCCUUGAGCUGGCGAUGGUUCAUUCAAAUUUCUGCCCUAUCAACUUUCGAUUGGUGAGUAGUGUUCACCAAUGGUGUCGACGGGUAACGAAGAAUUAGGGUUCGAUCUCGGAGAGGUCGCCUGAGAAACGGCGAACACAUCCAAGGAAGGCAGCAGGCGCGCAAAUUACCCAAUCCCGAUACGGGGAGGUAGUGACAAUAAAUACUGAUGCAGGGCUCUUUUGGGUCUUGCAAUUGGAAUGAGUACAAUUUAAACCCCUUAACGAGGAACAAUUGGAGGGCAAGUCUGGUGCCAGCAGCCGCGGUAAUUCCAGCUCCAAUAGCGUAUAUUAAAGUUGUUGCAGUUAAAAAGCUCGUAGUUGAAAUUUGGGCCUGGCUGGCCGGUCCGCCUCACCGCGUGUACUGGACUGGCCGGGCCUUUCCUUCUGGGGAAGCUCAUGGCCUUUAUUGGCUGUGUAGGGGAACCAGGACUUUUACUUUGAAAAAAUUAGAGUGUUCAAAGCAGGCCUUUGCUCGAAUACAUUAGCAUGGAAUAAUGAAAUAGGACGGCUUUCUUAUUUUGUUGGUUUCUAAGAGAGCCGUAAUGAUUAAUAGGGAAUAGUCCGGGGGCAUCAGUAUUCAAUUGGUCAGAGGUGAAAUUCUUGGAUUUAUUGAAGACUAACUACUGCGAAAGCAUUUGCCAAGGAUGUUUUCAUUAAUCAGUGAACGAAAGUUAGGGGAUCGAAGACGAUCAGAUACCGUCGUAGUCUUAACCAUAAACUAUGCCGACUAGGGAUCGGUGGAUGUUACUAUUUUGACUCCAUCGGCACCUUACGAGAAAUCAAAGUUUUUGGGUUCUGGGGGGAGUAUGGUCGCAAGGCUGAAACUUAAAGAAA
RNAcentral lists this ribosomal RNA (1070 nucleotides) under Triscelophorus sp. Its description in RNAcentral is "SSU rRNA". It matches the Rfam family "Eukaryotic small subunit ribosomal RNA", at positions 73 to 1152 of the family's 1831-position model. Lineage: Eukaryota; Fungi; Ascomycota; Dothideomycetes. The record is from RNAcentral.